UAGCUCAUAUGUUAGUUGAAGAGCAGCUUCAAGCUGGUCAUUUAGAGUCAACACUCAGCCCUUGGAACACACCCAUUUUUGUAAUUAAGAAAAAUCAGGAAAUUGGAGGUUAUUACAAGACGUAAGGGCAAUGAAUCAUGCAAUUCAACCUAAGGGGCUCUACAAGCUGGGCUUCCUUCUCCCACAGCGAUUCCUGUGAACUAGAAUUUGAUAGUAAUAGAUCUAAAAUAUUGUUUUUUCUCCACACAUUGCACCCCAAUGACUGUAAAAAAUUCGCCUUUAG
Molecule: small RNA, 283 nt
Filed under: Marmota monax (woodchuck)
Lineage: Eukaryota; Metazoa; Chordata; Mammalia; Rodentia; Sciuridae
Source: RNAcentral